Non-coding RNA from Pelobates cultripes (western spadefoot toad), 744 nucleotides. NCBI's taxonomy places the organism in Eukaryota, Metazoa, Chordata, Amphibia, Anura, Pelobatidae. The record is from the annotation of a GenBank genome assembly.
UUUUAGUCCACAGCUUUAUUAAAUUAUAAAUAAAAUAAAUAAGGAAUAACAAAUGGGGUCAUUGCCAACAGACCUUAUUAAAGUUAACAUCCCCCAUGUACAUAAUGUUCCCCUAGCAAUGACCCCCCCCAAUAAUAAUAAUAGAUAACAAUCCAAAUAACAUGUUAAUACAGAAACUGGCCGCCCAAUAUGGCCAUGUUUCCACCUGGUUAAAUUGUAGGGGUGUACCGAGACACCGCUACCCACCAUAUCAAUUGUAGGGGUGUACCAAGACACCGCUACCCACCAUAUCAAUUGUUGGGGUGUAACAAGACACCGCCACCCACCAGUUCCCAUGUAGGGUGUACCAAGACACCACCACACCCCCAUGUUCGGAGCCACCAACGAGCUCGAACCUACCAACCAGGUGCAACACUGUCCAAUCCACACUAAAACCACAGGAUGCCCACUUUCUCCUCCAUCUGCCCUCCGAUUUAACCAGGCCAUUCCCCGCCACAGCUCAGUACUUGACACCUAAAGCUCCUGAUCGACCCCCACCACCAGAAGAAGGCCCAAUCUAAACAGAUCAUCCCUUACAACCGAAACGUACCCCAUCCACCUUGGAGUACCCAGGGAGCUUGCUUCCCAAUCCAAUGCGUCUCCCCGUUACACCGCCCCCCACUUCCAAUAAAUACCGCCAUCAAUUGUUAUGGACAACGAGCCACCACGACUGGGACCCUAGUUUGUUUCCAAUGUAACCGAAGA